AGGAUAGAGGUGCGGCUGCGAUGAGUCGCAGUCCGGAGGGUGCUCAUGCCCGGUGAAGGACUGUUAAAGGCAAGGCCGCCGAAGAGGAGAGUCUGAGCAGCUCUGCUCUGGUGCUGUACUGAAUAAGUACCGCACUGUCAUCAUGUGUGAUGGAGAGCUAUCGG
RNAcentral lists this non-coding RNA (164 nucleotides) under bovine gut metagenome. Its description in RNAcentral is "Lysine riboswitch". It matches the Rfam family "Lysine riboswitch aptamer". Rfam says of the family: Riboswitches are metabolite binding domains within certain messenger RNAs that serve as precision sensors for their corresponding targets. Allosteric rearrangement of mRNA structure is mediated by ligand binding, and this results in modulation of gene expression. The record is from RNAcentral.